CCUACGGGGGGCUGCAGUGAGGAAUAUUGGUCAAUGGGCGAGAGUCUGAACCAGCCAAGUAGCGUGAAGGAUGACUGCCCUAUGGGUUGUAAACUUCUUUUAUAUGGGAAUAAAAUGUUCCACGUGUGGGCUUUUGUAUGUACCAUAUGAAUAAGGAUCGGCUAACUCCGUGCCAGCAGCCGCGGUAAUACGGCGGAUCCGAGCGUUAUCCGGAUUUAUUGGGUUUAAAGGGAGCGUAGGUGGAUUGUUAAGUCAGUGGUGAAAGUUUGCGGCUCAAACGUAAGAUUGCAGUUGAAACUGGGAGUCUUGAGUACAGGAGAGGUAGGCGGAAUUCGUGGUGUAGCGGUGAAAUGCGUAGAUAUCACGAAGAACUCCGAGUGCGAAGGCAGUGCACUGGACUGCAACUGACGCUGAGGCUCGAAAGUGUGGGUAUCAAACAGGAUUAGAUACCCCAGUAGUC
RNAcentral lists this ribosomal RNA (460 nucleotides) under uncultured bacterium. RNAcentral describes it as "partial 16S ribosomal RNA". It matches the Rfam family "Bacterial small subunit ribosomal RNA", at positions 338 to 795 of the family's 1533-position model. The record is from RNAcentral.